This is a long non-coding RNA of Contarinia nasturtii (swede midge), 478 nucleotides long. RefSeq lists it as uncharacterized. The record is from RefSeq and is a predicted model, not a curated record. The transcript is spliced from 3 exons. NCBI's taxonomy places the organism in Eukaryota, Metazoa, Arthropoda, Insecta, Diptera, Cecidomyiidae.
CUCAUUCUCUCAUUUCAAUUGACACGAUUGGGCACGAGCAAUAGCUCUCUUCGAAACAGACUCAAAUAAAGUAGAGAGAGUGUGUGUCUCUCGUGCAAAGGAAUGAAGGUUAAUAUGACACCAAACGAUGCAUACACUUCAAAUUUAAACUUAAUCAGUUACUCACAUGAUCUUGUCAUCGUUUGAGUCUCGAAAUUGGUUUACGGGCGAUUGGAAAAAAUUAAAUAAAUGGUACACGUUUGGAUGUGACCAAUUCCAAUUAAUUUUUGAAGAAGAAAAUGCUCAAAAAUCAACACCAAAAACAACUGUAUGUCAGGCUAAUUGAUUGAUUGUGAGACGUUUUGGUAUAAUUUCGGUGAUUUGAAACUCGUUCAAUCGAUUCAGACACUCCGUUCGACUGGAAUAUUCGAGAUUUUUUGGUCGGGUUAUUGUUGCAAUUAUCAGUUCUUUUUUCGUUGAGUCAGAUACACGGUAAUUU